This 76-nucleotide transfer RNA is filed under the name Novosphingobium organovorum. Its description in RNAcentral is "tRNA-Lys". It matches the Rfam family "tRNA". Rfam says of the family: Transfer RNA (tRNA) molecules are approximately 80 nucleotides in length. Their secondary structure includes four short double-helical elements and three loops (D, anti-codon, and T loops). Further hydrogen bonds mediate the characteristic L-shaped molecular structure. tRNAs have two regions of fundamental functional importance: the anti-codon, which is responsible for specific mRNA codon recognition, and the 3' end, to which the tRNAs corresponding amino acid is attached (by aminoacyl-tRNA synthetases). tRNAs cope with the degeneracy of the genetic code in two manners: having more than one tRNA (with a specific anti-codon) for a particular amino acid; and 'wobble' base-pairing, i.e. permitting non-standard base-pairing at the 3rd anti-codon position. The record is from RNAcentral. Lineage: Bacteria; Pseudomonadati; Pseudomonadota; Alphaproteobacteria; Sphingomonadales; Sphingomonadaceae.
GGACGCAUAGCUCAGUAGGGAGAGCAGCUGACUCUUAAUCAGCGGGUCCUUGGUUCGAGCCCAAGUGCGUCCACCA